Molecule: ribosomal RNA, 253 nt
Filed under: uncultured bacterium
Lineage: Bacteria
Description: partial 16S ribosomal RNA
Rfam family: Bacterial small subunit ribosomal RNA
Source: RNAcentral
UACAGAGGAUGCAAGCGUUAUCCGGAAUGAUUGGGCGUAAAGCGUCUGUAGGUGGCUUUUUAAGUCCGCCGUCAAAUCCCAGGGCUCAACUCUGGACAGGCGGUGGAAACUACCAAGCUGGAGUACGGUAGGGGCAGAGGGAAUUUCCGGUGGAGCGGUGAAAUGCGUAGAGAUCGGAAAGAACACCAACGGCGAAGGCGGCCUUCUGGACCAGUACUGACGCUCAUGCACGAAAGCGUGGGGAGCAAACAGG